RNAcentral lists this long non-coding RNA (953 nucleotides) under Dromaius novaehollandiae (emu). RNAcentral's name for it is "lncRNA (ENSDNVG00000000162.1)". Lineage: Eukaryota; Metazoa; Chordata; Aves; Casuariiformes; Dromaiidae. The record is from RNAcentral.
UACGUGUUUUGCCCUUCCGAACGUUUAGCUCUGGGUGCAGCUCUGGGCUUGACUGGCGGCACACCUCAUGAAAGGAAAUUUGAUUGAUAGACAAGAUUAUUUACCAAAUCUGGCACAUCUCCUGACUGGACCGAAACUAGAAACUACUACAAUCUACAGUGAACUAAGGAUCUAACUUCAAACUCUCCUUAAGCCCACAAUAUUAAAGGCGGAGGCGUUUUGAACAAGAAUAUAUGAUUACAAAGCUAUUUUGGGAGCUGUACUAAUUCAGCUUGAUACAUGCUUAAACACCUAUACAACAUUGCUUAAUAGAAGCAAUAAAGAUAAAUAGGGCUUCAUGAUUGUGAAUAUCAGAUGUAAUUAUGGUCACAAUAUUAAUAUUUAGCUUACUGUUUACACACCACAAUCUCAGCAGAAAAGACCUCAGAGAUUAUGAAUGUCGUGUGGAAAAUGCCUCAGAAACAUCUGGCAGCACGAGAAGCCUGGGCAUCUUACUGCAAGCCCCUGGGACAGCAGCAACCAAAGGGAAGCUAAGCAGAAACCAGAAAGUCAUCACUCUGACAUGCUUUAGUCUUCAGAGCCCCAUGCAUGUAAAUCUGCUGUAUCUGGAGAAGGAACAUGGAGAUUUGAGAGACCAGGCAGAAGAGAAAUGCACCCUGCAGAGCCUGAAAGUCAUCACCAGUGCAGACAGGGGAGCUGCUACUGGCCACAGCUGUGUUUUAYUAAUGGACAACAGCAAAAAGUUUCAGGCCAAAUUUAUUCUUACAGGAAAAGUGUUUCUGGUAGGGAUAUCAAAUUGUGUUAUGACAGCAAAGCUACCCAAGCUGAAAGUUUUUGCAGAGGGUCUGACUGUCCUGCACGUGCGCCAAGAUAAUCAGACUUCAGAGGGUAGGUACCAAUUCUCCCUGCAGAGCUACAAAAGUAGCAUUAACAGCAUACACAAUGAAGGAUAA